RNAcentral lists this ribosomal RNA (119 nucleotides) under Lepisosteus oculatus (spotted gar). The record is from RNAcentral. Lineage: Eukaryota; Metazoa; Chordata; Actinopteri; Semionotiformes; Lepisosteidae.
GCUAGCAGCCAUAUCACCCUGAAACUCACAGCUGCCAACCUGCUGAAGCUAAGCAGGUGUGAGCUUGGUCAAUACCUUAAUGGGAGACCUACUGGGAAAAACUAAGGUUGCUGCUGGAA